RNAcentral lists this ribosomal RNA (497 nucleotides) under uncultured bacterium. RNAcentral's name for it is "partial 16S ribosomal RNA". It matches the Rfam family "Bacterial small subunit ribosomal RNA", at positions 28 to 507 of the family's 1533-position model. The record is from RNAcentral.
GAUGAACGCUGGCGGCGUGCCUAAUACAUGCAAGUCGAGCGAACAGACGAGGAGCUUACUCCUCUGACGUUAGCGGCGGACGGGUGAGUAACACGUGGAUAACCUACCUAUAAGACUGGGAUAACUUCGGGAAACCGGAGCUAAUACCGGAUAAUAUAUUGAACCGCAUGGUUCAAUAGUGAAAGACGGUUUUGCUGUCACUUAUAGAUGGAUCCGCGCCGCAUUAGCUAGUUGGUAAGGUAACGGCUUACCAAGGCAACGAUGCGUAGCCGACCUGAGAGGGUGAUCGGCCACACUGGAACUGAGACACGGUCCAGACUCCUACGGGAGGAAGCAGUAGGGAAUCUUCCGCAAUGGGCGAAAGCCUGACGGAGCAACGCCGCGUGAGCGAUGAAGGUCUUCGGAUCGUAAAACUCUGUUAUUAGGGAAGAACAAAUGUGUAAGUAACUAUGCACGUCUUGACGGUACCUAAUCAGAAAGCCACGGCUAACUACGUG